UGGGGGAUAUUGCACAAUGGGCGAAAGCCUGAUGCAGCGACGCCGCGUGGGGGAUGAAGGCCUUCGGGUUGUAAACUUCUUUUGCUCUGAACAAGGCAUGCUAAUGGGUGUGUUGAGUGUAGGGGUUGAUUAGCGCCGGCUAACUACGUGCCAGCAGCCGCGGUAAUACGUAGGGCGCGAGCGUUGUCCGGAAUUAUUGGGCGUAAAGGGCUUGUAGGUGGCUGGUUGCGUCUGUCGUGAAAGCUCAUGGCUUAACUGUGGGUUUGCGGUGGGUACGGGCUGGCUUGAGUGCAGUAGGGGAGGCUGGAAUUCCUGGUGUAGCGGUGGAAUGCGCAGAUAUCAGGAGGAAUACCGGUGGCGAAGGCGGGUCUCUGGGCUGUUACUGACACUGAGGAGCUAAAGCAUGGGGAGCGAACAGG
RNAcentral lists this ribosomal RNA (419 nucleotides) under bacterium. Its description in RNAcentral is "partial 16S ribosomal RNA". It matches the Rfam family "Bacterial small subunit ribosomal RNA", at positions 355 to 776 of the family's 1533-position model. The record is from RNAcentral.